CGGCGCGGAGGCCCCGCGGCUCCGCGAUCUCGUCGGGGGCAGCGGGAGGCCGAACGGGCGGCGCGGCGCGGGGGCCGACGGGGGCGCGGGGAGGCCGCGCCGGAAGUGCCCCAACCGCGGGAGGAAGCGCAGCGGACGCCGAGCUGCCGAGCCGGCGGGAAGGCCCUUCGCUCCUCCGCCGGACGCGGGCUACCGGGAGCAGGCAGCAGCGGCCCCGAGGCUGCGGGACACGGCGCGGCCAGUCCCCGGGACGGGCCCGGCCUGGGGUGGAGGCCGCUCCGAGGCUAGACGGCGAGAUCGGUAGCCCCGAAGCCCGGGCCGAGGCAGAGCCUCCACAUGGCCUCCGGAGGGGGUGCGGCCUUCGAGGAGCUGCCGCACGACGGCACGUGUGAUGAGUGCGAGCCCGACGAGGCUCCGGGGGCCGAGGAAGUGUGCCGAGAAUGCGGCUUCUGCUACUGCCGCCACCACGCGGAGGCGCACGGGCAGAAGUUCCCCAGACACCAUCUGGCCGAGUACGUUCACUGCGCUGCCCAGGCCUGGACCCCGGGAGCCCGCGGAGAUGGGGCCGGGGAGGAAGCAGUCGAGGCCCCGGUGGAGAAUGAGAAAGCCCUAGAAAACGAGGCGGGGGAAGGGAGCGAGUCCGAGGAAGACAGUGAGCCCGAGGAAGAGAGCGAGACAGAGGAAGAGAGCGAGGACGAGAGCGAGGAAGACAGUGAGGAAGAAAUGGAGGACGAGCAAGAGAGCGAAGCCGAGGAGGACAACCCGGAAGAAGGAGAAUCUGAGGCCGAGGGAGAAACGGAGGCGGAAAGCGAAUUUGACCCUGAAAUAGAAAUGGAAGCAGAGAGAGUGGCCAAGAGGAAGUGUCCGGACCAUGGGCUUGAUUUGAGUACCUAUUGCCAGGAAGACAAGCAGCUCAUCUGUGUGCUCUGCCCAGUCAUUGGGGCUCACCAUGGCCAUCACCUCUCCACCCUCGAUGAAGCCUUCGAGGAACUAAGAAGCAAAGACUCAGGCGGACUGAAGGCGGCUAUGAUAGAGUUGGUGGAAAGGUUAAAGUUCAAGAGCUCAGACCCUAAAGUAACCCGGGACCAGAUGAAGAUGUUUAUACAGCAAGAAUUUAAGAAAGUUCAAAAAGUGAUUGCGGAUGAGGAGCAGAAGGCCCUUCAUUUAGUGGACAUCCAGGAAGCAAUGGCCACAGCUCAUGUGACUGAGAUACUGGCUGACAUCCAGUCCCAUAUGGAUAGAUUGAUGACUCAGAUGGCCCAAGCCAAGGAACAACUUGAUACCUCUAAUGAAUCAGCUGAGCCAAAGGCGGAGGGCGACGAGGAAGAACCCCGGUAAGAUCACAUUACUGUGGCUUGUGUGUUCUCAGAAUUGAAGUAGAGUGACAUUUGUGGCCUUUGAAGGCCCGUGAAAUAUGACCAGCCAAGGAACAGCACAGAUAAGGGAUCUCCAUCUUAAGCCAGGGGCUUUGAAGAUCUUAUUUUUGGCGCCGAUGAAGACUAGGGCGCAUGAAGGCCCGCCCUCCCCGGUGCAACACCCCCCUUCCCCUUGCGUGUAUGUGAAGGCGUGUGUGCAGCGGCUUCUGACCCCGGUGGAGGCUGCCCGGCAAGCAACGUGGUUCCGCCAGAUGCGUCCCCAGGCCCGCAGCAGGCACAGAGCUCUCCAAGGAGUGGCCAGCUUUACUGUUACUGACCGUGCUUCCCAUUCUCUUGUCGUGGUAGGAAAAGGAAAAGUGCCCCCAUGCUCCACCAGGAGCAAUUACAGGGUCCUCAGGUCAUUCCCCCAACAGCUGCUUUGAACUUCCUCAGGAAAGCCAGUCCCUGUAACAGUGUAUACCCAAACAGUAUCACUUCAUUAAGAAGGAGCUGAAAUCAUCUUGAAGGGCAGUCAGGAUUUGUUUCCCUCUGUGCUAAUGACCCCCCACUUUAUUCAUAUCGAAGCAUGGAAUAAAUGAGGGGGAAAGUAGGGCUGAAUCAACCCAUGUAAUUAGUCUCUACAAGUCCAAUUAUACAUCUGUGAAAAUGUGGUUUCAUGAAAUAAGACGGAUGGCUUGAAAACCGACAGAGUUAAAAGUUAGAAAUAUAUAAAGAUAUUUUUCGUACGUGAGGUUAUCCUGGACUUCAGAUUCAUAAUUCAAUCCUGUGGAAAUGAAAAAAAAAAAAAGAUUGAAGAGGUAGAAAGGAAAUGACUUUAAAAAAAAAAAAAAAAAGAGGGGAGACCAAAAAGAUCUGAUUAAAAGUUGAAAUAGAAAUAAAUAUUUCUGAACUCAAAUUGCCUAGGUUUCCAAAAUAGUCAGUAAAGGAUCUGAUGGAACCUGAAUUAUUUGAGUGGAUUCUGAGGUUUUAUGGGUCUCGCCACAUCAUGAAAGUCUGGAAUGUGUGUCACAAAUGGGAAUUUGCACUGUAGGUUUUGCUCCUCUUCCCCUAGCUUAGCCUGAUUUGGCUUCAGUGCAGAGUGGGGAGGAUACUUGGCCCUCUGGUGUGUGAAUUGAGCUCCACCCCCUGGCAGACAGACCUUCCUUUCACUCCAGGGGAGGACCCCUCCGGCCCGGCACUCCCCACCUCUAGAUCAUCUCCCACCCCCUGCCUCUCCCCUCUUACACGCUGUGAGCGGAGACUCCCCGUGGUUGGACUCUGGCCUCUCCCCACUCCCAAAUCACAUUUCCUUACAGCCAAGCUUUUUACUCCCAAGUAAGCAGUGAUGUACUAGGGAACACAGAACUGUAAACUGAAAAGCAUGCAUCUUCUAGCAGCAGUUUUGACUUAACAAAUGUUUUGGAGUCAGGGAAUGAUGUUAUUUUCGGAUAAAACAAACACAGUUACAUUAUGAAAUAGAAUGUUCAUAUACAUAAACUGUAAAGAUAAAACGGGAGACUUCGCAGAGGACUUUUAUUUGCAAGUGGGCUGUGUGUUCCCCCUCCUCUGCCGUUAGUGGUAUUUGGGUGUUCACUUCUGAGAAGUACAAUUGGAACUGCACACAUCCAAGAGCCUUGGGGCUUCUGCUGACUCAGGACCCAGACUCCUAGUGCUUCUGAGGCAGAACCAAAGGAGCCUGCAUCGGGGGAUCUUCCUCUUUUCCUGCCUGCCUGCCUGUGACCUGUACACCUGUCAACAAAGCUUUAGGGCCAACUGAUGUGUGUGUGCAGAGUGGUUAUGAGGUAGAAAUAGUGCUUACUGUCGGAAUCCUGUUUAUAUCACUGUUCAAUCCUGUGCAUGCUAUGAAAUGACUGUUUCUUUGACUCCAGGAAGCUACCAGGCAUAUACACUUCUCAGUUAAGAGUACCCCAGCUCACUAAAUCAUGAGGGACACUGGGGGCUGAGAGUGGUUUGGGCUGUUUUUUUUUUUUUUUUUUUCUCUUAAACUGGUGGCCAACAAAUGGCUGAGACAUGUUCGGUGCUUUACCUUUCUGCCCACAAAAAACUGGAGAUUUUGGCAUACCACUAAUUAUAUCCCCCAGCCACAUCCAAUGCAACUACCUUUAAAGGAAGACCAGUGGCCAUUCUCAAAAAGAGUUUAAAAAAUCAGAAGAUUAAGAAGACUCUAGGAUUUAGAAGCUUGUGUUGUCUUUCCCAGUAAUCAUUGUUUAAUCUCCAAGAGGCAGCCUUAUCUUAGCAAUGGACAGCUUAUUGGCUCCUCCAUAACUGAUCAUAGGCUGUUACUUUAAAUCAGUAUUUGGGAAACCCAGGCAUUUAUGCAAUGGAUAUGAAUGGAAAUAUAAAAAUACAUACCAGCCUGUCUCAAUAAAUUAUUAUAUCUCUAUAAUGCUCGAGGAAAGCACUUUGGCUUUUACCUAGAAAGGAUUUCAGAUCUGCUUUAUGGGCUCCCGCUGUCUUCAGUACCUGAUAAAACUUUAACCAGGGACGCAUUAAACAUGGCACAGCAGCUUCUGCCCAGGCUCCUGAGUUCCUGCCGGCAGCAUCUAUCAACACAAGAGCUAGGAUGCUUCCGGCAGUGGUACCAGCUUCCCCAAAGCUGGAGCAGGCUGCUUGGCCCUCAGCCCCAGCACGAGGAGGCCGCCCUCCUACCAGGUCAGUCGAGUUGCUCCAAAUUGUGUCCUGCCUGGCUGCAGGGUUUGCAGACAUCCCUAUGGAGAAGUCAGCAAGGGAGACAGGUAAUGACUGUCUUCAGAAUGAAUUGGGUCCUCACAGCAAUCCCUGGAUGCCUUCCAAAAAUGUUGGGUAUCCGAGGCUAAGAGGAGGUCUGAUCUUUGAUUUGGUGUCAUUAAAUCCAGGGCAAUUCCAAAAAGUGCCUGGAGUCUCUGCUCUGACACCCCAAAAAGGGAAAUGAUUUUAAAUAUUGAGGACCCUGCACCAAGGCCCCAUUUCAGAUUUGUAGCUAAGAGUUAUUUGUUUUGAGUUACACAGCUAGGAAGUACGGGAGCCAGGUUUUUGUACCCAGCUCUUCCUAACUCGGCUGCUGCUGCUAAGUCGCUUCAGCCAUGUCCGACUCUGGGUGACCCCAUAGACAGCAGCCCACCAGGCUCUGCUGUCCCUGGGAUUCUCCAGGCAAGAACACUGGAGUGGGUUGCCAUUUCCUUCUCCCUUCUUAACUUUUAUGUAUCCCUAAAACACAGAAAAAGCUGUGGGUUCCCCUGCUACAGUCUGACCAUUCCACUCUAAGGAUUCUUUUUCACAGUGACAUUUCAUGGCAGUAGUUUGGGCCCAGAAAUGGCAUCAGGGUAGCCUUAUUCUUCCAGUUUAGCAGAUACAUUAAGUACAUGUUGCUAACUUGAGCCUGCCCCCAGGAAUGGGAGGAGGCCUUUCCUUUUUGGUGCCAUCCCUCAUAAAUAAGGGGGAGUUGAAGCCAUCUAGGCCAGUCACUGGGCUUCCCCAAUGGCUCAACUGGAAAAGCACCUGCCUGCCAAUGCAGGUCGAUCCCUGGGAGGAAAAGAUCUGGAGAAGGAAAUGGCAACCCACUCUAGUAUUCUUGCCUGGAGAAUCCCAUGGACAGAAGAGUCUGGCAGGCUACAGACCAGGCUCAAAGAGUCAGACACUACUGAGCAUGCACGCAGCCCAUAAAUAAAGUGUUUCUAGGCCUUUAGGAGUGUGGAACUUCUCAGAAAUAGUGAAAGUGAGCAGUGUUCUGCUCUCUAUUUGAAAAUGCCUGCUGCUGCAAAGGAAAUCUUCAUAUUCUAGUAAACCUAGCUAGUCUGUGCCCUGUGAGGAUGUGGCAAUUCAAAGUCCAGUGAAUAUAGACGUCCCUACAAAUACCUGAUGUGUAUAUGUACACAUACACGCACUCUCAGUUUAACAAGCAAGGGAACUGCAGAGCAGUCCCCUCAUUAUCUUACAUACCACGCAGAGGUUCCUGCCAGCUCUGAUCACAAGCGCCACCAGGUAAUGGAGCUGUGGUGCUUGCUCAAGAGAUGCUUAUAGGAAGAGCAGUGCCUCGGCAAAGGUUGUCAGCUCCUAAAGCUGAGCCAAGGUGACAGCCCUGAAGGAAUUUACACUCCAGCCCUACUCCAGGAUGUCUAAUGAUAUGGGAAAUUUGGAUACCCAGCCAUUUCGGUGACCUGAGAGUCUGAACACUCCAGUCAGGCCUGAGGGCAUGGCUGAAGAAUUCAUAACUGGUAAGAGUGGUAGGGCUUAGGGAGCUCUUUCCUCCACUUAGACAAUAUGCUCUUGCCCAUACCUGAAAUUGGCACACUCACAUCAUAGCUGUUUGACACAUGCUUUUCCAUAAGAAAAUCAGUUGCAUGUUUACUAUGUGCCUAGCACAUCUAAAAUCUCCUGUUUAAAAAACAAAUCAAUCUCAUUAUGAGUGGACUCAGCCUAGCCCUGAGAAAAACAAACCAGAAAAGGGCCUACAGAGGAGACUUUAGAUCUCAUUAAUACUGCCUUAUCCAACAGUGUGUUGGAAGCCCCACUCCAGCUCAUUCCAAGAGCUCUAAGGCCCGAGAACACACCAGAAACAGCAGAACAGGUGCCGGAGCCGGAAAAUAAAAAUGAAUUAAUUACAAGACUUGUGGUAUACUGGUACAGAAAUGCCACAGGGCCGGGUCAUAUCAUGCUGGGCUUGGUAUGACCUUGAGGGGACAGUGGAUUUAUACUCCAUGGGAGUAUUAGCGACCAGUCUUUCUACAGUGACUACAUGGAUGGGGAGAACCAACGAAUCCAUCGUCCUCUGCCUGUUUACUUGCACACUGCCACAUUCCCUCCUCAGUCAUCUUCCCCUUUCACCCUUUACAUUAAACAAGGGAACACUCAAUCUUUCAAGGGAAUUAUACGUUUGAGUUAAUGUUGCAGUAUAUCAUUUUCUUGCUGUAAAUUAUUUUGUAAGAGAGAUUUACCGCUAUCCCAGGAUGUUUGGACUCGGUGCCCCUGUGCAUUUGGAAAUCAAUAAACUAUUCCUGGAAACACCA
RNA transcript from Bubalus bubalis (water buffalo), 6361 nucleotides. It is a transcript of the gene named tripartite motif containing 44, with no coding region annotated. The record is from RefSeq and is a predicted model, not a curated record. The transcript has 5 exons. NCBI's taxonomy places the organism in Eukaryota, Metazoa, Chordata, Mammalia, Artiodactyla, Bovidae.